GACGAACGCUGGCGGCGUGCUUAACACAUGCAAGUCGAACGGAAAGGCCCUGCUUUUGUGGGGUGCUCGAGUGGCGAACGGGUGAGUAACACGUGAGUAACCUGCCCUUGACUUUGGGAUAACUUCAGGAAACUGGGGCUAAUACCGGAUAGGAGCUCCUGCUGCAUGGUGGUGGUUGGAAAGUUUCGGCGGUUGGGGAUGGACUCGCGGCUUAUCAGCUUGUUGGUGGGGUAGUGGCUUACCAAGGCUUUGACGGGUAGCCGGCCUGAGAGGGUGACCGGCCACAUUGGGACUGAGAUACGGCCCAGACUCCUACGGGAGGCAGCAGUAGGGAAUAAUGCACAAUGGGCGGAAGCCUAAUGCAGCAACGCCGCGUGCGGGAUGACGGCCUUCGGGUUGUAAACCGCUUUCGCCUGUGACGAAGCGUGAGUGACGGUAAUGGGUAAAGAAGCACCGGCUAACUACGUG
Molecule: ribosomal RNA, 468 nt
Filed under: uncultured bacterium
Lineage: Bacteria
Description: partial 16S ribosomal RNA
Rfam family: Bacterial small subunit ribosomal RNA
Source: RNAcentral